Molecule: non-coding RNA, 615 nt
Organism: Chlorocebus sabaeus (green monkey)
Lineage: Eukaryota; Metazoa; Chordata; Mammalia; Primates; Cercopithecidae
Source: the annotation of a RefSeq genome assembly
AUGCAGAUGGAUGCUUACAGAGAUGAAAAGUCCUGUAGCUUGAUCCACCAGGAUCAGAGUCCUGAGAAACUCUGGGGGUGCCUGAACUUCCUGUAUAGUAAGAGACAUGCAAACAGGUUUCUCCGUCUGCUGAUAAAAACCAGCCCAGCCCUGACCCUGCAGCUCUGGGAGAGGAGCACCAGUCCUGGGAUGCCCAGGUGUUUCCAUUCGGUGUUCAGCACUGAACACAGAGGACUCACUGUGGAGAUUGGGCUGGCCUGGGUUUUCCUUGUUGCUGUUUUAAAAGGUGUCCAGUGUGAGGUGCAGCUGGUAGAGUCUGGGGGAGGCCUGGUACAGCCUGGGGGAUCCAUGAGACUCUCCUUGGAAGCCUCUGGAUUCACCUUCAAUAGCUAUGGCAUGAGCUGGGUUCACCAGACUCCAGGGAAGGGGCUGGAGUGGGUCUCAACUAUUAGUGGUAAUGGAGUUAGCACAUGGUACCCAGAUGCUGUGAAGGGUCAAUUCACCAUCUCCAGAGACAAUGCCAAAAACUCCCUGUAUCUGCAAAUGAACAGCCUGAGUGUUGAGGAUACAGCCAUGUAUUACUGUGCAAAAGACACAGUGAGGAGAAGUCACUAA